AAGCUGGUUGAAUGCGUCUAUGAAGCUCAGGAUGAAGAACUGACUCGAUGCUUCCUGCAGAAAGUGGGCGGGGAUCUGACUUCCUGUUCCUUGAGCUGGGAAGAGUUUCAUUAUUUCCUGCAGCACAGAAUUCAACAAAUCACUCUGAACCUCAGAAAGAGUAACAUUCAGGUCAACAUCAGAGAAAUGCUGCCAUUCCUGAACCAGAUUAAAUUUAAACGGUUGAGCUCUGCCUUCAUGCUGCGUGUAAUCAGAGAGAUCUAUGAGUCCGGCUCUGCUAGGUUUGUGUCCAGUCUGUUGAGUUCAGUGAAGAACUACAUUAACCUGCAGAGCAGAGAUCUGGACUCCGUUCACUCUGCGGCCCUGCGCUUCACACUGCAGCUUCACUCAACCUGCUCUGGACCUCCAUACCAGAGGAAGAGCUGCAGAGCAUUCUGCCUCUCUUCACACACCUCUCCCACCUCAGUGUUGACAAGCUGCUGUUGCUGAAGAUGCUUCACUGCUGCAGUGUCUCUGAUGUCCAGCAGGAGGCAGCAGCUGUUCUGCUCUCAAUCCUGCAGCACAAGCUGGACUUCUCCUGCCGCUCUGCUCUGGAUCUGGCAACAAACACAGACUCAGAGCCUCUACAUCUGACCACUGACGACUGCCGUGUGAUGUCCAGAGUCAUUCAGAGAGCUCAAUCAGACACAAAGACACGGCUGAU
RNAcentral lists this long non-coding RNA (703 nucleotides) under Sinocyclocheilus grahami. Its description in RNAcentral is "lncRNA (ENSSGRG00000011449.1)". Lineage: Eukaryota; Metazoa; Chordata; Actinopteri; Cypriniformes; Cyprinidae. The record is from RNAcentral.